This 1048-nucleotide long non-coding RNA is filed under the name Marmota monax (woodchuck). The record is from RNAcentral. Lineage: Eukaryota; Metazoa; Chordata; Mammalia; Rodentia; Sciuridae.
GCUCUCCAGGAAAAAUGAGUUUUACUCCUAUGAGCCAUCUUCUGAGAACCCUUCCCCAGAAUCAGAACCUGUGUGUCUCCAGCUUAAAUCGGGCGCUCAUCUCUGCAGGGUUUGUGGCUGUUUAGGCCCCAAAACUUGUUCCAGAUGCCACCAAGCACACUACUGCAGUAAGGAGCAUCAGACCUAGACUGGAGGUUGGAGCACAAGCAGCCUUGUACCCAAGGUCAUUUGGAUCAUACAGAUCCAGGCCACAACUCCUUUUUUCUGAAUUCGAAAUUGUCAUAGAAACAGAGGAGGAGAUUGUGCCUUAAGUUGUGGAAAAGGAAGAAGACUCUGAGAUCACAGGAAGCAUGGAUGAAGCUCUUGAGGGCGAACUGGAUUCCAUGGCAAAGCACGAAUCCAGGGAAGAUAAUAUUUUCCAGAAGUUCAAAGCUCAGAUAGCCCUUGAACCACAGUAGGUCAUGCCACAGCUGCUGAACCACCUCAAGGCAGACAGACACACCGGGCAGAAGUGUUGACUGGGGCAUCCUGGCUGUCUUCACCUGCGCCGGAAACUGUAGCUUGGGCACUGGCUACACAGAGGAAUUCGUGUGGGAGCAGGAUGUAACAGAUACACCUUUCAGACAUCUUCAAGCCCUAAAAAAGGUUACUAACAUCUUACGUCCUUGCAAUUCCAUCUCUGACUUUAUCCUAAGAAAGUAUCAGAGAUGGAGGAACAAAGAUGUGGCUUGGGGCCUUGUUUAGUGUCUUAAAUAUACUAAAACAAUGUCCAAUAAUGGAAUUACAUGAAUUUUGGUACAUCCAAGUGAAAGGUUAUUAAUGAUACACACUUAACACGGAUACCAAAUGAGCGGGAGAUCUAAAUUAACACUAAGAGACCAUUAUAUCAUGGUAUGUGUUUUUGUAAAAAUAUUUAUAUAUGUAUAUGUGCAUAAAUAUAAAUCUGAAUAUAAAUAUAAAGCUGCACACCAACUAUAAACUGGUUUACCUAUGAAUGGUAGGACUAAGUGAAAUACUCUUUUUACUAUGUACUAUUCUUGCAUAAUAA